GGGAAGAUGGCUCAGUGGUAGAGCACUUGCCUUGCAUGCCUGAGGCCCUGGGUUCAAUUCCUCAUCACCACA
This 72-nucleotide transfer RNA is filed under the name Dipodomys ordii (Ord's kangaroo rat). It matches the Rfam family "tRNA". From Rfam's summary of the family: Transfer RNA (tRNA) molecules are approximately 80 nucleotides in length. Their secondary structure includes four short double-helical elements and three loops (D, anti-codon, and T loops). Lineage: Eukaryota; Metazoa; Chordata; Mammalia; Rodentia; Heteromyidae. The record is from Rfam by way of RNAcentral.